CAGGCCUAACACAUGCAAGUCGAACGAUGCUUUCGGGCAUAGUGGCGCACGGGUGCGUAACGCGUGGGAAUCUGCCCCUUGGUUCGGAAUAACAGCUAGAAAUGGCUGCUAAUACCGGAUGACGACGUAAGUCCAAAGAUUUAUCGCCGAGGGAUGAGCCCGCGUAGGAUUAGCUGGUUGGUGUGGUAAAGGCGCACCAAGGCGACGAUCCUUAGCUGGUCUGAGAGGAUGAUCAGCCACACUGGGACUGAGACACGGCCCAGACUCCUACGGGAGGCAGCAGUGGGGAAUAUUGGACAAUGGGCGCAAGCCUGAUCCAGCAAUGCCGCGUGAGUGAUGAAGGCCUUAGGGUUGUAAAGCUCUUUUACCCGGGAUGAUAAUGACAGUACCGGGAGAAUAAGCUCCGGCUAACUCCGUGCCAGCAGCCGCGGUAAU
RNAcentral lists this ribosomal RNA (435 nucleotides) under uncultured bacterium. RNAcentral describes it as "bacterial SSU rRNA". It matches the Rfam family "Bacterial small subunit ribosomal RNA", at positions 43 to 524 of the family's 1533-position model. The record is from RNAcentral.